This is a long non-coding RNA of Gossypium raimondii (Peruvian cotton), 868 nucleotides long. RefSeq lists it as uncharacterized. NCBI's taxonomy places the organism in Eukaryota, Viridiplantae, Streptophyta, Magnoliopsida, Malvales, Malvaceae. The transcript has 2 exons. The record is from RefSeq and is a predicted model, not a curated record.
UUUACUUUUUUGCAGACCUCUCCACCAUUGCCCUCUCCCUCUCUUCCCCCUAUUCCAAUCGGGAGUCUUCUUCGAAUUUGCAAUCUUGCCUCCAGGAGUUCCUCCAUUCUAUCAAUGGAAAUAUGCAUGUAUCUCUUCAAGAUAAAUCAAAAUUUUCUUUGUUGGGUCAGUAUGGAGCUUGUAUUAACUCUGAGAAAAACCUGCACUCACGGUGUAGAUGGAGUUUGUGAAUGCUAUGGACAAUGGAGCUGUGGAUGCCUUAAAUUUGAUGGGUUUUUAGGCCAGUGUAGACGAAAGUAAUUACUGGAUUAAGCUGGCCUAUGAAUCUCUUCGUCUUCAAGCCAGGGGAAUUCAUUGGGUUCCUAAAUUGCAUCAUCUUCAUUGGAAGAAGGAAAUAGUGUCUCAAUGCGAUGUCCAUGUACGAAAUUCAGAUUGCUUCUAUUGUUUGGUUUAUCAUUUGAGUUGUAUUUGUCAAUGGUGAUUAAUCCAUGGCUCUUUGUCUGAACAAGUUUAGGUUAUAUUAUACGAAACUCCAACAUACGGUGCUCACCAUUUCUCAUUGCGAUACUGGAAUUCUUCUGAGCAUGGUAAAGCUUCUCCUAAGAAGCCUCAGUGGGUUGAUGAGCUUCAACAAAAGCAACCUUUAAAUGACAUGAUAAAAAUAGUACCUUCUUGUGGAGCUAGGACAGUUUCCAUAUAUAUUCUUAAUUUUAAAAUUUUGAAAGCAGGAUAUAGUUGUUUUGGCUAUCAACAUGGUGGAGAGGUCUGCGGACUUGUGAUUGGGGGGAUGGCGGGGAAGAGGGAUGGUAACAGAAAAUGGUUAGUGAAGACUGUUUUGUUAUUUUUUGAAAGUUGAAUGAUUAUUUUA